UGGGGAAUUUUGGACAAUGGGCGCAAGCCUGAUCCAGCAAUGCCGCGUGCAGGAUGAAGGCCUUCGGGUUGUAAACUUCUUUUGUACGGAGCGAAAAGGUCUGCCCUAAUACGGUGGGCUCAUGACGGUACCGUAAGAAUAAGCACCGGCUAACUACGUGCCAGCAGCCGCGGUAAUACGUAGGGUGCGAGCGUUAAUCGGAAUUACUGGGCGUAAAGCGUGCGCAGGCGGUUAUAUAAGGCAGAUGUGAAAUCCCCGGGCUCAACCUGGGACCUGCAUUUGUGACUGUAUAGCUAGAGUACGGUAGAGGGGGAUGGAAUUCCGCGUGUAGCAGUGAAAUGCGUAGAUAUGCGGAGGAACACCGAUGGCGAAGGCAAUCCCCUGGACCUGUACUGGCGCUCAUGAACGAAAGCGUGGGGAGCAAACA
RNAcentral lists this ribosomal RNA (427 nucleotides) under uncultured bacterium. RNAcentral's name for it is "bacterial SSU rRNA". It matches the Rfam family "Bacterial small subunit ribosomal RNA", at positions 355 to 774 of the family's 1533-position model. The record is from RNAcentral.